AACGCUGGCGGCAGGCCUAACACAUGCAAGUCGAGCGGCAGCGGGAAAGUAGCUUGCUACUUUUGCCGGCGAGCGGCGGACGGGUGAGUAAUGCCUGGGAAAUUGCCCAGUCGAGGGGGAUAACAGUUGGAAACGACUGCUAAUACCGCAUACGCCCUACGGGGGAAAGCAGGGGACCUUCGGGCCUUGCGCGAUUGGAUAUGCCCAGGUGGGAUUAGCUAGUAGGUGGGGUAACGGCUCACCUAGGCGACGAUCCCUAGCUGGUCUGAGAGGAUGACCAGCCACACUGGAACUGAGACACGGUCCAGACUCCUACGGGAGGCUGCAGUGGGGAAUAUUGCACAAUGGGCGCAAGCCUGAUGCAGCCAUGCCGCGUGUGUGAAGAAGGCCUUCGGGUUGUAAAGCACUUUCAGCGAGGAGGAAGGUGGUGAGCUUAAUACGCUCAUCAAUUGACGUUACUCGCAGAAGAAGCACCGGCUAACUCCGUGCCAGCAGCCGCGGUAAUACGGAGGGUGCAAGCGUUAAUCGGAAUUACUGGGCGUAAAGCGCACGCAGGCGGUUUGUUAAGUCAGAUGUGAAAUCCCCGGGCUCAACCUGGGAACUGCAUUCGAAACUGGCAGGCUAGAGUCUUGUAGAGGGGGGUAGAAUUCCAGGUGUAGCGGUGAAAUGCGUAGAGAUCUGGAGGAAUACCGGUGGCGAAGGCGGCCCCCUGGACAAAGACUGACGCUCAGGUGCGAAAGCGUGGGGAGCAAACAGGAUUAGAUACCCCGGUAGUCCUGGCCGUAAACGAUGGGUACUAGGUGUAGGAGGUAUCGACCCCUUCUGUGCCGGAGUUAACGCAAUAAGUACCCCGCCUGGGGAGUACGACCGCAAGGUUGAAACUCAAAGGAAUUGACGGGGGCCCGCACAAGCAGCGGAGCAUGUGGUUUAAUUCGAAGCAACGCGAAGAACCUUACCUAGACUUGACAUCUCCUGCAUUACCCUUAAUCGGGGAAGUUCCUUCGGGGACAGGAAGACAGGUGGUGCAUGGUUGUCGUCAGCUCGUGUUGUGAGAUGUUGGGUUAAGUCCCGCAACGAGCGCAACCCUUAUUGUUAGUUGCUACCAUUAAGUUGAGCACUCUAGCAAGACUGCCCGGGUUAACCGGGAGGAAGGUGGGGAUGACGUCAAAUCAUCAUGCCCCUUAUGUCUAGGGCUACACACGUGCUACAAUGGCAAGUACAAAAAGAUGCAAUACCGCAAGGUGGAGCUAAACUUAAAAACUUGUCUCAGUUCGGAUUGUAGGCUGAAACUCGCCUACAUGAAGCUGGAGUUGCUAGUAAUCGCGAAUCAGAAUGUCGCGGUGAAUACGUUCCCGGGCCUUGUACACACCGCCCGUCACACCAUGAGAGUUGGCAAUACCCAAAGU
RNAcentral lists this ribosomal RNA (1406 nucleotides) under human gut metagenome. Its description in RNAcentral is "bacterial SSU rRNA". It matches the Rfam family "Bacterial small subunit ribosomal RNA". The record is from RNAcentral.